CUACGGGGGGCUCCAGUGAGGAAUAUUGGUCAAUGGGCGCAAGCCUGAACCAGCCAAUCCGCGUGCAGGAUGACUGCCCUAUGGGUUGUAAACUGCUUUUAUACAGGAAGAACCCUCCAUACGUGUAUGGGGUUAACUGUACUGUAAGAAUAAGCAUCGGCUAACUCCGUGCCAGCAGCCGCGGUAAUACGGAGGAUGCGAGCGUUAUCCGGAUUUAUUAGGUCUAAAGGGUGCGUAGGCGGAUAAUUAAGUCAGUGGUGAAAUCCUACAGCUUAACUGUAGAACUGCCAUUGAUACUGGUUGUCUUGAGUUUAGUUGAGGUAAGCGGAAUGUGUAGUGUAGCGGUGAAAUGCUUAGAUAUUACACAGUACACCGAUUGCGAAGGCAGCUUACUAAGCUACAACUGACGCUGAGGCACGAAAGCGUGGGGAGCGAACAGGAUUAGAUACCCUCGUAGUC
RNAcentral lists this ribosomal RNA (459 nucleotides) under uncultured bacterium. RNAcentral's name for it is "partial 16S ribosomal RNA". It matches the Rfam family "Bacterial small subunit ribosomal RNA", at positions 339 to 795 of the family's 1533-position model. The record is from RNAcentral.